UCGAGAAUAGUCUACAAUGGACGGAAGUCUGAUAGUGCGACGCCGCGUGAACGAAGAAUCCCUUCGGGGUGUAAAGUUCUUUUAUACGUGAGCAGUGCCCUUUAUAUGAAUAGUAUAGAGGGAGGGAUUUAAGCGUAUGAAUAAGCAACGGCUAACUCCGUGCCAGCAGCCGCGGUAACACGGGGGUUGCAAGCGUUGUCCGGAAUUACUAGGCGUAAAGUGCAGGUAGGCGGAUAGAUAAGUUUAAGGUUAAAGGCUACGGCUUACCCGUAGUAAGGCGUUAGAUACUGUUUAUCUGGAAUGCGGUUGAGGGAGACAGAAUUCCUGGUGUAGCGGUGGAAUGCGCAGAGAUCAGGAGGAAUACCGAAGGCGAAGGCAGUCUUCUAAGCCGAUAUUGAC
This 399-nucleotide ribosomal RNA is filed under the name uncultured bacterium. Its description in RNAcentral is "bacterial SSU rRNA". It matches the Rfam family "Bacterial small subunit ribosomal RNA", at positions 355 to 744 of the family's 1533-position model. The record is from RNAcentral.